RNAcentral lists this ribosomal RNA (472 nucleotides) under uncultured bacterium. Its description in RNAcentral is "bacterial SSU rRNA". It matches the Rfam family "Bacterial small subunit ribosomal RNA", at positions 8 to 526 of the family's 1533-position model. The record is from RNAcentral.
AGAGUUUGAUCAUGGCUCAGAACGAACGCUGGCGGCAGGCUUAACACAUGCAAGUCGAACGAACUCUUCGGAGUUAGUGGCAGACGGGUGAGUAACGCGUGGGAACCUACCUUUAGGUACGGAACAACAGUUGGAAACGACUGCUAAUACCGUAUGUGCCCUAUGGGGGAAAGAUUUAUCGCCUUUGGAUUAGCCCGCGUUAGAUUAGCUUGUUGGUGAGGUAAAAGCUCACCAAGGCGACGAUCUAUAGCUGGUCUGAGAGGAUGAUCAGCCACACUGGGACUGAGACACGGCCCAGACUCCUACGGGAGGCAGCAGUGGGGAAUAUUGGACAAUGGGGGCAACCCUGAUCCAGCCAUGCCGCGUGAGUGAUGAAGGCCCUAGGGUUGUAAAGCUCUUUCAGCGAGGAGGAUAAUGACGUUACUCGCAGAAGAAGCCCCGGCUAACUUCGUGCCAGCCGCCGCGGUAAUAC